RNAcentral lists this ribosomal RNA (253 nucleotides) under uncultured bacterium. Its description in RNAcentral is "partial 16S ribosomal RNA". It matches the Rfam family "Bacterial small subunit ribosomal RNA", at positions 524 to 776 of the family's 1533-position model. The record is from RNAcentral.
UACGUAGGGGGCAAGCGUUGUCCGGAAUCAUUGGGCGUAAAGCGCGUGUAGGCGGCUUGGCAAGUCGGUUGUGAAAGCCCGGGGCCCAACCCCGGAACUGCAUCCGAAACUGCCUGGCUAGAGUCCCGGAGAGGAAGGCAGAAUUCCCGGUGUAGGGGUGAAAUCCGUAGAUAUCGGGAGGAAUACCAGCGGCGAAGGCGGCCUUCUGGACGGUGACUGACGCUGAGACGCGAAAGCGUGGGGAGCAAACAGG